This 497-nucleotide ribosomal RNA is filed under the name uncultured bacterium. RNAcentral describes it as "partial 16S ribosomal RNA". It matches the Rfam family "Bacterial small subunit ribosomal RNA", at positions 28 to 507 of the family's 1533-position model. The record is from RNAcentral.
GAUGAACGCUGGCGGCGUGCCUAAUACAUGCAAGUCGAGCGAACAGACGAGGAGCUUGCUCCUCUGACGUUAGCGGCGGACGGGUGAGUAACACGUGGAUAACCUACCUAUAAGACUGGGAUAACUUCGGGAAACCGGAGCUAAUACCGGAUAAUAUAUUGAACCGCAUGGUUCAAUAGUGAAAGACGGUUUUGCUGUCACUUAUAGAUGGAUCCGCGCCGCAUUAGCUAGUUGGUAAGGUAACGGCUUACCAAGGCAACGAUGCGUAGCCGACCUGAGAGGGUGAUCGGCCACACUGGAACUGAGACACGGUCCAGACUCCUACGGGAGGCAGCAGUAGGGAAUAUUCCGCAAUGGGCGAAAGCAUGACGGAGCAACGCCGCGUGAGUGAUGAAGGUCUUCGGAUCGUAAAACUCUGUUAUUAGGGAAGUACAAAUGUGUAAGUAACUAUGCACGUCUUGACGGUACCUAAUCAGAAAGCCACGGCUAACUACGUG